This 253-nucleotide ribosomal RNA is filed under the name uncultured bacterium. RNAcentral describes it as "partial 16S ribosomal RNA". It matches the Rfam family "Bacterial small subunit ribosomal RNA", at positions 524 to 776 of the family's 1533-position model. The record is from RNAcentral.
UAUGUAGGUGGCGAGCGUUGUCCGGAUUUACUGGGCGUAAAGAGCGCGCAGGCGGUCGUACAAGUCGCGUGUGAAAGCCCCUGGCUCAACUGGGGAGGGUCACGCGAUACUGUUCGACUUGAAGGCAGGAGAGGGAAGUGGAAUUCCCGGUGUAGUGGUGAAAUGCGUAGAUAUCGGGAGGAACACCAGUGGCGAAGGCGACUUCCUGGCCUGUUCUUGACGCUGAGGCGCGAAAGCUAGGGUAGCAAACGGG